Molecule: ribosomal RNA, 539 nt
Filed under: uncultured bacterium
Lineage: Bacteria
Description: bacterial SSU rRNA
Rfam family: Bacterial small subunit ribosomal RNA
Source: RNAcentral
AAUAGAUACCCGGGUAGUCCAUGCCGUAAACGUUGGGCGCUAGGUGUGGGGACCUUCCACGGUCUCCGUGCCGCAGCUAACGCAUUAAGCGCCCCGCCUGGGGAGUACGGCCGCAAGGCUAAAACUCAAAGGAAUUGACGGGGGCCCGCACAAGCGGCGGAGCAUGCUGAUUAAUUCGAUGCAACGCGAAGAACCUUACCUGGGUUUGACAUAUACCGGAAGGCUGCAGAGAUGCAGCCCCCCUUGUGGUCGGUAUACAGGUGGUGCAUGGCUGUCAUCAGCUCGUGUCGUGAGAUGUUGGGUUAAGUCCCGCAACGAGCGCAACCCUCGUCCUAUGUUGCCAGCACGUAAUGGUGGGGACUCAUAGGAGACUGCCGGGGUCAACUCGGAGGAAGGUGGGGAGUGACGUCAAGUCUUCAUGCCCCUUAUGUCCAGGGCUUCAAGCAUGCUACAAUGGCCGGUACAAAGGGCUGCGAAACCGCAAGGUGGAGCGAAUCCCAAAAAGCCGGUCUCAGUUCGGAUUGGGGUCUGCAACUCCG